RNAcentral lists this ribosomal RNA (258 nucleotides) under uncultured bacterium. RNAcentral describes it as "partial 16S ribosomal RNA". It matches the Rfam family "Bacterial small subunit ribosomal RNA", at positions 524 to 777 of the family's 1533-position model. The record is from RNAcentral.
GACGAACCGAGCGAACGUUGUUCGGAAUCACUGGGCUUAAAGGGCGCGUAGGCGGGUGCUCAAGUCUGUGGUGAAAUCCUCCGGCUCAACCGGGAGAACUGCCAUGGAUACUGGGUGUCUUGAGGGUGGUAGGGGUAUGCGGAACUAUCGGUGGAGCGGUGAAAUGCGUUGAUGUCGAAUAGGAACUCCGGUGGCGAAAGCGGUCUGCUGGACCUCUUCUGGACGCCUGAGGCGCGAAAGCCAGGGGAGCAAACGGGG